Molecule: long non-coding RNA, 549 nt
Organism: Lolium rigidum
Lineage: Eukaryota; Viridiplantae; Streptophyta; Magnoliopsida; Poales; Poaceae
Exons: 3
Source: RefSeq, a predicted model, not a curated record
GAUGGACAAGCAGAGCUGGAGGUAUGCAGGGGGCGGCGGUGCCUUCUUCCUCUAAGUCUCGGCGGUUCCGGUUUCUGGAACCAAGUCCAUCCUCUAGAGAAUGAGAUGCUCACGAGGAUCAUCGAGCAAGGACUGGACGUAAACUCCCGUGUGCCCCAAAGCAGCCUACUUUUGUAAUGCUGCCUGGUCAGGUCUGGCCGUUCUGGCUGCGAUUUCUCAAGAUGCAUUGAUGCCGCGAUGGGGAGGCCAACCGGCUGCUACUGCUAUGUGGCCUUCUCAUAGGCAAGGCCAACCGGUGAUGAUGUCGACCACCGCCGUCGUCGGCAGACUGACACCCAUCUCCACACACAUCAAGUACAAUACCUUGGCAGCUGUCGUGGAGGCUGGAGAUCCAUCUGCUAGCAUGGUCACGAUGCUACCUGUAGGAGGACCUGCGGUUGCUGCAUCUGCACUUCCAGGAGGAAAGGUGGCUAGACCCGUUGGUUGUGCUGCGGCGCCGGUUUCAUCUCCAAUGACUCCCUCUACCGCUGCUAUCGCCUGCAUCAGUAC